RNAcentral lists this ribosomal RNA (3124 nucleotides) under Salmonella enterica subsp. salamae. Its description in RNAcentral is "23S ribosomal RNA". It matches the Rfam family "Bacterial large subunit ribosomal RNA". Lineage: Bacteria; Pseudomonadati; Pseudomonadota; Gammaproteobacteria; Enterobacterales; Enterobacteriaceae. The record is from RNAcentral.
GGUUAAGCGACCAAGCGUACACGGUGGAUGCCCUGGCAGUCAGAGGCGAUGAAGGACGUGCUAAUCUGCGAUAAGCGCCGGUAAGGUGAUAUGAACCGUUAUAACCGGCGAUUUCCGAAUGGGGAAACCCAGUGUGACUCGUCACACUAUCAUUAACUGAAUCCAUAGGUUAAUGAGGCGAACCGGGGGAACUGAAACAUCUAAGUACCCCGAGGAAAAGAAAUCAACCGAGAUUCCCCCAGUAGCGGCGAGCGAACGGGGAGGAGCCCAGAGCCUGAAUCAGCAUGUGUGUUAGUGGAAGCGUCUGGAAAGGCGCGCGAUACAGGGUGACAGCCCCGUACACAAAAGCGCACAUGCUGUGAGCUCGAUGAGUAGGGCGGGACACGUGGUAUCCUGUCUGAAUAUGGGGGGACCAUCCUCCAAGGCUAAAUACUCCUGACUGACCGAUAGUGAACCAGUACCGUGAGGGAAAGGCGAAAAGAACCCCUGCGAGGGGAGUGAAACAGAACCUGAAACCGUGUACGUACAAGCAGUGGGAGCCCCACCACCAAAGCAUUUGUUGUAACGUGUUGACGGAGCGAAGCGACGUCAAACCGAUAAAACAGCAGUGUUAAGUUAGCCGCAGGGCGUUUUGCGCGACAGCGCAAAAGCAGGCGGUUUCGCGAAGCGAAAGCGAAUGCUUUGGGGUGGGGUGACUGCGUACCUUUUGUAUAAUGGGUCAGCGACUUAUAUUCUGUAGCAAGGUUAACCGCAUAGGGGAGCCGAAGGGAAACCGAGUCUUAAUUGGGCGUUAAGUUGCAGGGUAUAGACCCGAAACCCGGUGAUCUAGCCAUGGGCAGGUUGAAGGUUGGGUAACACUAACUGGAGGACCGAACCGACUAAUGUUGAAAAAUUAGCGGAUGACCUGUGGCUGGGGGUGAAAGGCCAAUCAAACCGGGAGAUAGCUGGUUCUCCCCGAAAGCUAUUUAGGUAGCGCCUCGUGAACUCAUCUCCGGGGGUAGAGCACUGUUUCGGCUAGGGGGCCAUCCCGGCUUACCAACCCGAUGCAAACUGCGAAUACCGGAGAAUGUUAUCACGGGAGACACACGGCGGGUGCUAACGUCCGUCGUGAAGAGGGAAACAACCCAGACCGCCAGCUAAGGUCCCAAAGUCAUGGUUAAGUGGGAAACGAUGUGGGAAGGCCCAGACAGCCAGGAUGUUGGCUUAGAAGCAGCCAUCAUUUAAAGAAAGCGUAAUAGCUCACUGGUCGAGUCGGCCUGCGCGGAAGAUGUAACGGGGCUAAACCAUGCACCGAAGCUGCGGCAGCGAACGUAUCACUUAAAACGAUUCAGAAGCUUACGACUGACGGAGCGAAGCGACGUCAAAGCGUAUACAAAGUCGAGUCGGUUUAAGGAUACGUUCGUUGGGUAGGGGAGCGUUCUGUAAGCCGUUGAAGGUGUGUCGUGAGGCAUGCUGGAGGUAUCAGAAGUGCGAAUGCUGACAUAAGUAACGAUAAAGCGGGUGAAAAGCCCGCUCGCCGGAAGACCAAGGGUUCCUGUCCAACGUUAAUCGGGGCAGGGUGAGUCGACCCCUAAGGCGAGGCCGAAAGGCGUAGUCGAUGGGAAACGGGUUAAUAUUCCCGUACUUGGUGUUACUGCGAAGGGGGGACGGAGAAGGCUAUGUUGGCCGGGCGACGGUUGUCCCGGUUUAAGCGUGUAGGCUGACUUUCCAGGCAAAUCCGGAGAGUCAAGGCUGAGGCGUGACGACGAGGCACCACGGUGCUGAAGCAACAAAUGCCCUGCUUCCAGGAAAAGCCUCUAAGCAUCAGGUAACAUCAAAUCGUACCCCAAACCGACACAGGUGGUCAGGUAGAGAAUACCAAGGCGCUUGAGAGAACUCGGGUGAAGGAACUAGGCAAAAUGGUGCCGUAACUUCGGGAGAAGGCACGCUGACACGUAGGUGAAGUGAUUUACUCAUGGAGCUGAAGUCAGUCGAAGAUACCAGCUGGCUGCAACUGUUUAUUAAAAACACAGCACUGUGCAAACACGAAAGUGGACGUAUACGGUGUGACGCCUGCCCGGUGCCGGAAGGUUAAUUGAUGGGGUCAGCGCAAGCGAAGCUCCUGAUCGAAGCCCCGGUAAACGGCGGCCGUAACUAUAACGGUCCUAAGGUAGCGAAAUUCCUUGUCGGGUAAGUUCCGACCUGCACGAAUGGCGUAAUGAUGGCCAGGCUGUCUCCACCCGAGACUCAGUGAAAUUGAACUCGCUGUGAAGAUGCAGUGUACCCGCGGCAAGACGGAAAGACCCCGUGAACCUUUACUAUAGCUUGACACUGAACAUUGAGCCUUGAUGUGUAGGAUAGGUGGGAGGCUUUGAAGCGUGGACGCCAGUCUGCGUGGAGCCGACCUUGAAAUACCACCCUUUAAUGUUUGAUGUUCUAACGUGGACCCGUGAUCCGGGUUGCGGACAGUGUCUGGUGGGUAGUUUGACUGGGGCGGUCUCCUCCUAAAGAGUAACGGAGGAGCACGAAGGUUGGCUAAUCCUGGUCGGACAUCAGGAGGUUAGUGCAAUGGCAUAAGCCAGCUUGACUGCGAGCGUGACGGCGCGAGCAGGUGCGAAAGCAGGUCAUAGUGAUCCGGUGGUUCUGAAUGGAAGGGCCAUCGCUCAACGGAUAAAAGGUACUCCGGGGAUAACAGGCUGAUACCGCCCAAGAGUUCAUAUCGACGGCGGUGUUUGGCACCUCGAUGUCGGCUCAUCACAUCCUGGGGCUGAAGUAGGUCCCAAGGGUAUGGCUGUUCGCCAUUUAAAGUGGUACGCGAGCUGGGUUUAGAACGUCGUGAGACAGUUCGGUCCCUAUCUGCCGUGGGCGCUGGAGAAUUGAGGGGGGCUGCUCCUAGUACGAGAGGACCGGAGUGGACGCAUCACUGGUGUUCGGGUUGUCAUGCCAAUGGCACUGCCCGGUAGCUAAAUGCGGAAGAGAUAAGUGCUGAAAGCAUCUAAGCACGAAACUUGCCCCGAGAUGAGUUCUCCCUGAGACUUAAAGUCUCCUGAAGGAACGUUAAAGACGAUGACGUUGAUAGGCCGGGUGUGUAAGCGCAGCGAUGCGUUGAGCUAACCGGUACUAAUGAACCGUGAGGCUUAACCUU